CCGCGCAGCCGGGGAGAUAGCGGUGCCCUGUAUCUGCAAUCCGCUCCAGCAGAGGUGAUAUCCCGCCUCGGAUGCGAACUUGCAGGGCUGCCCCUGGUAAGCGGCGUUGACGUUUGGGUCUUGCGCAACAGAACCUCAUGAACCGUGUCAGGGCAGGAAUGCAGCAGCACUAAGUGAGUCAUUCUGUGUGCCGCAAGGAAGCCUGGACCGAGCUGGCUGCCAGGGUAACGCCUGUGAGCCGUAUACAAAGCGGGGUGCGCGG
This 262-nucleotide signal recognition particle RNA is filed under the name Clostridium sp. AM33-3. Its description in RNAcentral is "Bacterial large signal recognition particle RNA". It matches the Rfam family "Bacterial large signal recognition particle RNA". From Rfam's summary of the family: The signal recognition particle (SRP) is a universally conserved ribonucleoprotein involved in the co-translational targeting of proteins to membranes. The record is from Rfam by way of RNAcentral. Lineage: Bacteria; Bacillati; Bacillota; Clostridia; Eubacteriales; Clostridiaceae.